CUUCGUUGCUUUGCCAUCUGAAGAAGAGGAAUACAGGAAGAAGGUCAUCGUUGUCAUCGUUGUCCUGCUCAGGAUCCUCAGUGUGGUGGCGAUGGCGACGGUGCUGUUGUGUCUGGUGGCGAUGGUGGCGGGGCUGAUUUUCUUGGCAUGGCCUAUAAAAUCCAAACAAGUCAUAUACUCUCAAGCUUGUAAAGAGGAAAAGCCAAAAAGCAAAGAAGAAGAAGAAGGACAAUUAACUGUUUCCACCGACUGUGAGUCUGAAUCUGAAUGAGAGGCAGUAGCCGUCACAUGGCGUUGGAAUUCUUUCAGAGGACUUUCUCAUCGCACCGCAUUUGGAAAUCCAGAUGUUUUUUUUCUUCAAAUCAAAAAUAAUUAUGUUUCUCUCAAGUUUCUGCUCAUCACCUACAACCUGAAGACUAUGGCUGGCCCAAGUGGAAAGUCACUUUAGUUUUGUGCAAUUAAACAAAUCAAGUCAGUGGUUACCACCGAUUGAAAGUUACAUCAUGAAAGUGUGAAUGAAUUUGAGCCCUUAAAAACGUUCAGACUCUUUAAUCAAGCAAUUUAUUAUUAUAAAAUACAUUUUUAAAAAUCUAAGAAAAUAGAUCAUACAUCAGGUAAAUAAUAAAAUAGUGAUGAUUUCAAUAGUUUGAGAAUGUGUUGUAUAUUAUUUUCAUUUUACAGAUUGAGUAAAUUCACACACACCCUGUCUCGAUUUUUUUUGUUUGAAGGAAAUAAAAAUGUUAGAACUGUUACAAUGUAAAAUGUACAUCCCUGCAUUUUAUUCUUGUUGUUGUUGUUGACACGUUUGCAAAAAAACACUUGCUGUCACGUGAGUAAAUUCACAUCUACCCUGUCUCGAUUUUCAAGAUUUUUUGAAGGAAAUAAAAAUGUUAGAACUGUUACAAUGUAAAAUGUACAUCCCUGCAUUUUAUUCUUGUUGUUGACAUGCUUGCAAUAAAACGUUUGCUGUCACGCCCCCCAC
Long non-coding RNA from Syngnathus typhle (broad-nosed pipefish), 982 nucleotides. RefSeq lists it as uncharacterized. Lineage: Eukaryota; Metazoa; Chordata; Actinopteri; Syngnathiformes; Syngnathidae. The record is from RefSeq and is a predicted model, not a curated record. The transcript has 4 exons.